AAAUUGAAGAGUUUGAUCAUGGCUCAGAUUGAACGCUGGCGGCAGGCCUAACACAUGCAAGUCGAACGGUAACAGRAAGCAGCUUGCUGCUUUGCUGACGAGUGGCGGACGGGUGAGUAAUGUCUGGGAAACUGCCYGAUGGAGGGGGAUAACUACUGGAAACGGUAGCUAAUACCGCAUAACGUCGCAAGACCAAAGAGGGGGACCUUCGGGCCUCUUGCCAUCGGAUGUGCCCAGAUGGGAUUAGCUAGUAGGUGGGG
This 260-nucleotide ribosomal RNA is filed under the name Escherichia coli. Its description in RNAcentral is "partial 16S ribosomal RNA". It matches the Rfam family "Bacterial small subunit ribosomal RNA", at positions 1 to 257 of the family's 1533-position model. Lineage: Bacteria; Pseudomonadati; Pseudomonadota; Gammaproteobacteria; Enterobacterales; Enterobacteriaceae. The record is from RNAcentral.